RNAcentral lists this ribosomal RNA (400 nucleotides) under uncultured Gammaproteobacteria bacterium. Its description in RNAcentral is "bacterial SSU rRNA". It matches the Rfam family "Bacterial small subunit ribosomal RNA", at positions 342 to 734 of the family's 1533-position model. Lineage: Bacteria; Pseudomonadati; Pseudomonadota; Gammaproteobacteria. The record is from RNAcentral.
CGGGAGGCAGCAGUGGGGAAUAUUGGACAAUGGGNGCAAGCCUGAUCCAGCCAUGCCGCGUGUGUGAAGAAGGCCUUAGGGUUGUAAAGCACUUUCAGUGGGGAGGAAGGCCUUAAAGUUAAUAGCCUUGAGGAUUGACGUUACCUACAGAAGAAGCACCGGCUAACUCCGUGCCAGCAGCCGCGGUAAUACGGAGGGUGCGAGCGUUAAUCGGAAUUACUGGGCGUAAAGCGCGCGUAGGCGGUUAGUUAAGCUGGAUGUGAAAGCCCUGGGCUCAACCUGGGAACUGCAUUCAGAACUGGCUGGCUAGAGUACGAGAGAGGGUAGUGGAAUUUCCUGUGUAGCGGUGAAAUGCGUAGAUAUAGGAAGGAACAUCAGUGGCGAAGGCGAAUGCCUGGCU